RNAcentral lists this ribosomal RNA (358 nucleotides) under Theileria lestoquardi. RNAcentral's name for it is "SSU rRNA". It matches the Rfam family "Eukaryotic small subunit ribosomal RNA", at positions 529 to 924 of the family's 1831-position model. Lineage: Eukaryota; Apicomplexa; Aconoidasida; Piroplasmida; Theileriidae. The record is from RNAcentral.
ACCUCUUCCAGAGUAUCAAUUGGAGGGCAAGUCUGGUGCCAGCAGCCGCGGUAAUUCCAGCUCCAAUAGCGUAUAUUAAAAUUGUUGCAGUUAAAAAGCUCGUAGUUGAAUUUCUGCUGCAUUGCUUGUGUCCCUCCGGGGUCUGUGCAUGUGGCUUUUUUCGGACGGAGUUUCUUUGUCUGAAUGUUUACUUUGAGAAAAUUAGAGUGCUCAAAGCAGGCUUUUGCCUUGAAUAGUUUAGCAUGGAAUAAUAAAGUAGGACUUUGGUUCUAUUUUGUUGGUUUUAGGUACCAAAGUAAUGGUUAAUAGGAACAGUUGGGGGCAUUCGUAUUUAACUGUCAGAGGUGAAAUUCUUAGA